GGUUAAGCGACUAAGCGUACACGGUGGAUGCCCUGGCAGUCAGAGGCGAUGAAGGACGUGCUAAUCUGCGAAAAGCGCCGGCGAGGUGAUAUGAACCUUUGACCCGGCGAUGUCCGAAUGGGGAAACCCAGUGUGAUUCGUCACACUAUCGUUAACUGAAUACAUAGGUUAACGAGGCGAACCGGGGGAACUGAAACAUCUAAGUACCCCGAGGAAAAGAAAUCAACCGAGAUUCCCCCAGUAGCGGCGAGCGAACGGGGAGCAGCCCAGAGUCUGAAUCAGCUUGUGUGUUAGUGGAAGCGUCUGGAAAGUCGCACGGUACAGGGUGACAGUCCCGUACACGAAAACGCACAGGUUGUGAACUCGAAGAGUAGGGCGGGACACGUGGUAUCCUGUCUGAAUAUGGGGGGACCAUCCUCCAAGGCUAAAUACUCCUGACUGACCGAUAGUGAACCAGUACCGUGAGGGAAAGGCGAAAAGAACCCCGGCGAGGGGAGUGAAAAAGAACCUGAAACCGUGUACGUACAAGCAGUGGGAGCACCUUCGUGGUGUGACUGCGUACCUUUUGUAUAAUGGGUCAGCGACUUAUAUUCUGUAGCAAGGUUAACCGUAUAGGGGAGCCGAAGGGAAACCGAGUCUUAACUGGGCGUUAAGUUGCAGGGUAUAGACCCGAAACCCGGUGAUCUAGCCAUGGGCAGGUUGAAGGUUGGGUAACACUAACUGGAGGACCGAACCGACUAAUGUUGAAAAAUUAGCGGAUGACUUGUGGCUGGGGGUGAAAGGCCAAUCAAACCGGGAGAUAGCUGGUUCUCCCCGAAAGCUAUUUAGGUAGCGCCUCGUGAACUCAUCUUCGGGGGUAGAGCACUGUUUCGGCUAGGGGGCCAUCCCGGCUUACCAACCCGAUGCAAACUACGAAUACCGAAGAAUGUUAUCACGGGAGACACACGGCGGGUGCUAACGUCCGUCGUGAAGAGGGAAACAACCCAGACCGCCAGCUAAGGUCCCAAAGUCAUGGUUAAGUGGGAAACGAUGUGGGAAGGCACAGACAGCCAGGAUGUUGGCUUAGAAGCAGCCAUCAUUUAAAGAAAGCGUAAUAGCUCACUGGUCGAGUCGGCCUGCGCGGAAGAUGUAACGGGGCUAAACCAUGCACCGAAGCUGCGGCAGCGAC
This 1168-nucleotide ribosomal RNA is filed under the name Enterobacter roggenkampii. RNAcentral describes it as "partial 23S ribosomal RNA". It matches the Rfam family "Bacterial large subunit ribosomal RNA", at positions 1 to 1212 of the family's 2925-position model. The record is from RNAcentral. Lineage: Bacteria; Pseudomonadati; Pseudomonadota; Gammaproteobacteria; Enterobacterales; Enterobacteriaceae.